UACGGAGAGGGCGAGCGUUGUUCGGAAUCACUGGGCGUAAAGGGCGCGUAGGUGGUCUUGUAAGUUGGAAGUGAAAUCCUAGGGCUUAACCCUAGUGCUGCUUCCAAUACUGCUUGACUGGAGUGUAAAGUAGGGUAGCGGAAUUCCUAGUGUAGAGGUGAAAUUCGUAGAUAUUAGGAGGAACACCGGCGGCGAAGGCGGCUACCUGGGUUACUACUGACACUGAGGCGCGAAAGCGUGGGGAGCAAACAGG
Molecule: ribosomal RNA, 253 nt
Filed under: uncultured bacterium
Lineage: Bacteria
Description: partial 16S ribosomal RNA
Rfam family: Bacterial small subunit ribosomal RNA
Source: RNAcentral